This is a small nucleolar RNA of Artibeus jamaicensis (Jamaican fruit-eating bat), 138 nucleotides long. RefSeq annotates it as small nucleolar RNA SNORA15. The record is from RefSeq and is a predicted model, not a curated record. NCBI's taxonomy places the organism in Eukaryota, Metazoa, Chordata, Mammalia, Chiroptera, Phyllostomidae. The transcript has a single exon.
GUAUGCCCGAAUACUGUGUUCUCUUUAUCAUUAGUAGCUUCCAAGACUCUAUGCAAAAGUAAAGUCUCCCCUCUAAAAUGGCUAUGAUGGUAUGCCAAGUUUUUUCAUAGCAUAUCAUUACUAAAAGUGGGCAUAAAU